This 253-nucleotide ribosomal RNA is filed under the name uncultured bacterium. RNAcentral describes it as "partial 16S ribosomal RNA". It matches the Rfam family "Bacterial small subunit ribosomal RNA", at positions 524 to 776 of the family's 1533-position model. The record is from RNAcentral.
UACGUAGGGUGCGAGCGUUAAUCGGAAUUACUGGGCGUAAAGCGUGCGCAGGCGGUGAUGUAAGACCGAUGUGAAAUCCCCGGGCUUAACCUGGGAACUGCAUUGGUGACUGCAUUGCUGGAGUAUGGCAGAGGGGGGUGGAAUUCCACGUGUAGCAGUGAAAUGCGUAGAGAUGUGGAGGAACACCGAUGGCGAAGGCAGCCCCCUGGGCCAAUACUGACGCUGAGGCGCGAAAGCGUGGGGAGCAAACAGG